Molecule: long non-coding RNA, 486 nt
Organism: Thalassophryne amazonica
Lineage: Eukaryota; Metazoa; Chordata; Actinopteri; Batrachoidiformes; Batrachoididae
Exons: 3
Source: RefSeq, a predicted model, not a curated record
UUCCUGCUCCUGCCCCACGGCGCGUGCGCGCACUUCACAGAAAGACGUGUACAGAGACAGAAAGGAGAGAGAAAGAGAGAGAGAGAGAGGUGGUGGUAAGGUCCUAGCUCCGUGAUUUUCCUCGCGCCUCCGUGGCCCGCAGGGCUUCAUACUGUACGGACGUGUUGCACGUUACGAGGAGGAGCAGCGCGCCCUUUGAUUGGCUCUUUGACGCUUUUGGACCAAUUGUGUGCCAGCGGAGGCGUGGUUUUAAUAGGUCGGGCGGAGGAGCAGAGACUUUCAGACUUAUAAAAAGCCAUCACGGAGACCAAAGCGGCGACGGAUCUCAAAGUCCUUGAGUUAGGUGGUGGGAUCUAACCACAAUGAGAUAAUGGAGCAGAUGGAGCAGCUUGAAGUUCACAUCAAAUAUUGACAAAUGCAGAUGAACAUGGGUACACAGCAAGAUCAGGUAAUUGCUUUCUUUUGUGAUCUCUGAGCCUUCAAAGA